This is a non-coding RNA of Arachis ipaensis, 637 nucleotides long. Lineage: Eukaryota; Viridiplantae; Streptophyta; Magnoliopsida; Fabales; Fabaceae. The record is from RefSeq and is a predicted model, not a curated record.
AAGCAAUUGAGCGAGAGUUUGAUUCAACUUCAAAUUCAAAAUCAUUUUUUAGUUUAUUCUUAUCCUCAUAUAUAUAUGUUAAACGCGAAGAGAAGACCAAAAAAAUUGUUAAACGCAAAGAGAAGAUGAGAGAAGAAGAGUAGCAAGUCUUGGUAGAGGGAGUAGUUGGCGCUGGCAAGGGAAAGACUCCCUCCAGCGACUUUGUAGAGAUGAAGUAAACCACAGCGAAAAAAGAAAGGUCGACGGAAGAAGGAGAAGAGGGUGGUGAGAAUGACAGCAAUGGUCACAGAGAAGGAAGCUAAGUCUACAGAGAAAAGAAGAGGAAUGAGGCGAUGGCGGUGAUGGAGUCCAUCGUCGCUGUUCGAUCCGCAGAGCUACGUCCUCCGCAGGACGGUGUCGCAGCCAUUUCUUUGCUGGUGGGUGCUGCGAAUGAAGAAUGAAGAGAGAUUAUGAGAUGUCGACGUCAACAAUGGUGGAGCUAGCCUCCUAUCCUCGCCAAUGACACCUAUGGAAUGAUGCAACAAAAGAGUGGAGCCACAGAGACAAGCUUUUGGUGGUUUGAAGUCACUCUCUCAAAGCAUCAGAAGUGGCCAAGGAAAAAACAAUCAUUUUAGGACUGGAAUCUUAGCAGCAAGAU